AUUGAACGCUGGCGGCAGGCCUAACACAUGCAAGUCGAGCGGAUGAGGGGAGCUUGCUCCCUGAUUUAGCGGCGGACGGGUGAGUAAUGCCUAGGAAUCUGCCUGGUAGUGGGGGAUAACGUUCCGAAAGGAACGCUAAUACCGCAUACGUCCUACGGGAGAAGGCAGGGGACCUUCGGGCCUUGCGCUAUCAGAUGAGCCUAGGUCGGAUUAGCUAGUUGGUGAGGUAAUGGCUCACCAAGGCGACGAUCCGUAACUGGUCUGAGAGGAUGAUCAGUCACACUGGAACUGAGACACGGUCCAGACUCCUACGGGAGGCAGCAGUGGGGAAUAUUGGACAAUGGGCGAAAGCCUGAUCCAGCCAUGCCGCGUGUGUGAAGAAGGUCUUCGGAUUGUAAAGCACUUUAAGUUGGGAGGAAGGGCUGCUGGUUAAUACCCUGCAGUUUUGACGUUACCAACAGAAUAAGCACCGGCUAACUUCGUG
This 484-nucleotide ribosomal RNA is filed under the name uncultured bacterium. Its description in RNAcentral is "partial 16S ribosomal RNA". It matches the Rfam family "Bacterial small subunit ribosomal RNA", at positions 30 to 507 of the family's 1533-position model. The record is from RNAcentral.